UAGGGAAUCUUCGGCAAUGGGGGCAACCCUGACCGAGCAACGCCGCGUGAGUGAAGAAGGUUUUCGGAGCGUAAAGCUCUGUUGUAAGAGAAGAACGUGUGUGAGAGUGGAAAGUUCACACAGUGACGGUAACUUACCAGAAAGGGACGGCUAACUACGUGCCAGCAGCCGCGGUAAUACGUAGGUCCCGAGCGUUGUCCGGAUUUAUUGGGCGUAAAGCGAGCGCAGGCGGUUUAAUAAGUCUGAAGUUAAAGGCAGUGGCUUAACCAUUGUUCGCUUUGGAAACUGUUAAACUUGAGUGCAGAAGGGGGGAGUGGAAUUCCCUGUGUAGCGGUGAAAUGCGUAGAUAUAUGGAGGAACACCGGUGGCGAAAGCGGCUCUCUGGUCUGUAACUGACGCUGAGGCUCGAAAGCGUGGGGAGCAAACAGG
RNAcentral lists this ribosomal RNA (429 nucleotides) under bacterium. RNAcentral's name for it is "partial 16S ribosomal RNA". It matches the Rfam family "Bacterial small subunit ribosomal RNA", at positions 355 to 776 of the family's 1533-position model. The record is from RNAcentral.